This 216-nucleotide ribosomal RNA is filed under the name Salmonella enterica. RNAcentral's name for it is "partial 16S ribosomal RNA". It matches the Rfam family "Bacterial small subunit ribosomal RNA", at positions 1 to 214 of the family's 1533-position model. The record is from RNAcentral. RNAcentral also lists the same sequence under 2 other names. Lineage: Bacteria; Pseudomonadati; Pseudomonadota; Gammaproteobacteria; Enterobacterales; Enterobacteriaceae.
UUAAAUUGAAGAGUUUGAUCAUGGCUCAGAUUGAACGCUGGCGGCAGGCCUAACACAUGCAAGUCGAACGGUAACAGGAAGCAGCUUGCUGCUUUGCUGACGAGUGGCGGACGGGUGAGUAAUGUCUGGGAAACUGCCUGAUGGAGGGGGAUAACUACUGGAAACGGUGGCUAAUACCGCAUAACGUCGCAAGACCAAAGAGGGGGACCUUCGGGC